This 257-nucleotide long non-coding RNA is filed under the name Sorghum bicolor (sorghum). RNAcentral's name for it is "long non-coding RNA (SBIC_LNC018112)". Lineage: Eukaryota; Viridiplantae; Streptophyta; Magnoliopsida; Poales; Poaceae. The record is from RNAcentral.
CUUGUAGGAAAAUGUUGAUUGAUGUAUUGCACUGCUUAAUUUCUCAAUUAACAUUACUUUUAGGUGCUUUCCUUUCUGAGUUUUACAUAACAUUAUUUUAAGAAAAAUAAUUAGUAAAUUAGGUGUAUGGGUUUAAGGGUGUAGUGAUAAUUGUUCCUAAUUUAUCUUCUUCACAAUCUCACAGAGCUAUGGUUGUGGUGGAGAAUGGGCUGUGGAACCUUUCAGACCAAAACUUCUCAGACGAGAAGGAGGCAUUC